Non-coding RNA from Meleagris gallopavo (turkey), 3347 nucleotides. The record is from RefSeq and is a predicted model, not a curated record. Lineage: Eukaryota; Metazoa; Chordata; Aves; Galliformes; Phasianidae.
GAGAUUGUCUACAUGUGGGCCUGGUGUGAUGGAAGCUCAUUUGAAGCCUCAGCCUGGAAGCUGGUGCAGGUUACUUAGGGUACAGGCUGAGCUUCUGAGGAGCUGUAUGCAAGGAGAGGAGAUGGUUUUCAGCCUAAAGAAUUAGAGUAAUUUGUGGUGUGACCACUGAGUAGCAUCCCAUGGACUAGGGGCAACACGUCUUCUUCCACAUUAAUUAAAGAUAAUCCAAAUGUAUGGCUUCUAGCUCCUUGCAGAGGAUGGCUUAGUAUUGCUAACACCAUGCAGUGUUUGAAGCUGAGAAGUUUCUUGAGGACAGCACAAACCAGCAUCACUGAUGAUUGGAUCUUCAAAGAGAUGCCAAGAGCUGGUGGAUUAUUCUGCAUGGCUGAUGGAAAAUUUGUGGCCAAAAUUUCUCGGAUUUGUAUGGAGAGGUGUCUGAGGAGGAAGGCCAGCCAACCUGGAACUUCAGGUAGCUGCAAAAACCACCAGCACUGGAGCAUAUCAUCCUCCUACCAGACACUGUGCUUCUGCUGUAGGACUAUUGUGAACACAUGGGUGAUGCAACCUGGAAAUCCAACAGCACUGAAGUUGUGUGGUUUGCCCCAGAGUUACCCAAACUGGAAAUCUCAUCAGCAGGAAGAGGGACUGCAGUCACUCUGGGGACCUGUGGCAAGGUGCUGGUGUGUCUGAGAAGGUGACUUAUUGGAAACACUGAAUGGACAGAAGUAGAAAUUAGUCAUGUCAGAGACCACUCGGCAGCUGGAUAGGAUUCCUUGCAUGAUUCAUCCACAAAAAUGACUGCUUUUACUGACGUUAUAUUUCCCCUCUUUAUUUAGAAUGCAGCUUAGACUGCCGUGGCUGUGGUCCGUUGUCUGGAUUGCUUUUUGAUGGCUGGGUGGUACGCAUAGCAUCCUUGUAUUCUCAUAAUUUCUAAACCACUACUUGCACCAGGGGAAAAAAAGACAACCAAAUGAAGGGCUUUGUCACUUCAGAAGACCUCAGUGGAAUGAACCUGUAAUCUUAGGAAAUCAAAGGGGAAUCUGGGGAAUGUGUCAUUUUUAGUGUCUUUAAGGGAGCAAAAAUUACGAGUGAAAAUAGCUGCCUAUAAAUUGUGUUUAUAGGGUUAAUUGACAGGAAUAUUAGAGAAGGGAAAGUCUGGAUGAAAGCCUCUGGGUCUGAGCUCUUUUUCAGGGAGAGGUCUAAAGAAAGGACCGUCACCCGAUGCAACCAAGACAUACUGGGAUGCAUGGAUCAGCUCCUGUUCCUCAGCAGAGGAAUUCAUAAGUGAUGCAGCUCUGUGGCAGUGCUGUGACCACCCGUUCUUGUGAAAUCCACUCACAUUUUUGCAGGAUUACCGAGCUGCAGAAACCAGCAGUGGAAAAGGUCUCCGUGUUCUCUCUAAGCCCACUGAUGGUGGAGUGGGACCGUUCCCAACCAUGCGGAGUUCUGUGCAGACCCAUCUGAUCUGAUUCAUGCUGUCGGAUGUCUCACAGCUUCCUUUGGGAACUCUAAUUGACCUUCUGUAACUAAGGAGGCCUUAAUAUACAGAUUUUCUUUUUACCAUAGACUGAAUUUUAUGCCACUUAAUUUCCAUUCUCAUUCAAGCCAUAAACUCCACCUGCUAGGUGCUGCACCCUCCCAUAGACACAAGCAGCACACUCAGGUAGCAUGGGCUGCAAGAAUUAUGUCAGCUUUUGCCACUGUAGAGCUCAGGAACUGCUGUGAUGAAAAGGAACCACCAGCUUUACUCGUGGCUGCAGAGUGGAUACCCAUAAACGUGGAUGUCAUAUUUGCAAAAGUAAUUCCACAUCCUAUGGGUUAAGACUUACAACUUCCAGUUUCUUAUUCAGCUUAUAUCCCAAGAUUUCCAGCAUUUUGUUUCAGGUUUGAGACGUCCCUGGGAAGAAUUCCAGCUCAUCUCUGAUGAAGCAAGAGGGCAUCUUGAAGAAUGUAAUUAGCUAAUUGUGCUAGGGGAAAAUGAAAUGCAGACCUUUUUCUUGGUACAACACAAAGAUUGUUUAUACCUAGAAGCCACCAAAGCUGAUCUUUAGCAAUAACAAAUAACUGUGCAUGGAAUAUUUGGCAAAACCAGAAUGAUGAUCAAAGAGGCUGGUAACAAGAAUGACUGGUGGAUGUGAUCACAUCUGUCCAGAUCAUUAUUUUGGGGAAUGUAAGGUAACGGGGAGGUGGGAUGCCUCAUUUCUGGAAAAUGAGCUACCCCAGCAGAGCUGCUCAUCAGCAUUCCUGGAAUAGCAGUGAGAAACAUGACAACUUCUGGGGAAAAAUAAGUCCCAGUGACCGCUGUUAAUGUGCAAAAAGAGGCGAUGCAUGGAUUGCAAGCUGUCAUCUGCUCGUUUGUGUCCUGUCCAUCCCCUUUCAUCCCUGGGGAGAAUGCUGAAAGCAAUUCUGGUGGAGGCACUUGGAAAUAAACACCAGUGGUCUAGAUGGAAAUACUCCUAGUGGCGCACAAGGCUGACCCUGGAGGCCACUGGGAAUUGAGGACCUGCACACAAGCCUUGUGGCUAGGGCUCACCUCUAAUCUUCAGCCAUGAUUAUGAUGGACAAACUAGAGCUCAAAGCUGACUUUCGUAGCCUGUACUCAGCAAAGCCUGUGUUAGGGUCACCAGAGUUUGAGGAACAAAGGAAUACCUCCAUUUUUUUGGCCCUUGUGAAGAUCAUAGGGUAAGUUCCAGGUCCUCAUGCCUUAACAUAAAGCCUUCUGCAGCACCAAGGGUCAUCUGUAUGAAGUUUAGACAGAUGAUAGAGGAUUUAGCCUGGGCCAUCGGCCAUAGAUCACAGGGCAUGGAGAAAUGAGACAUGGGAUAAGGAGAGGGAAGAGCAGCUCUCCUGUCCCUCUCUCAGGCUGACGUUGGAUGCAGAGAGGAGCCUGAUGUGGGGUGAACUGAGUUCAUCCUCUGCAGGCACUGUGGUGUGAUUUCUGUCCCUGUGCUUAAUAUCAAUGCUGUUCAAACACAAGGCUUGGAGUUGCUCACACUGAACUGAAGGGAAGGCAGCAAUGCUGGAAAAAGAGGAGGAGUGGAAAGUCUGUUCACUUCAUAAUGCUAUUUCCUCUCUUAAACAAGCCUCUUUGACUAUGAAACACUUAAAUGCACAAAAAACAAGCCCCACCUCGUGCUGGCUGCUCGCUGUCCUGAUGGGGUUUGUCCUGGUGCCACCUCAUGGCAAAAAUCAGAUCUGAAUUUCCAACAGAAUGGCUGAAGUACGGGCUGCCCAGCUCCCAGCCUUGCAAAGCCAAAGCAGGCGUUUAAUGCUGGAGUGGUGCUAUUUUUAUUCUUGUUUUGCAGCUUGGCUUUCUGGGAGGGAAAAAUCUUAACUAGGAGAAGUAU